UGGCUCCAGGACGAACGCUGGCGGCGUGCCUAAUACAUGCAAGUUGAGCGCUGAAGGUUGGUACUUGUACCGACUGGAUGAGCAGCGAACGGGUGAGUAACGCGUGGGGAAUCUGCCUUUGAGCGGGGGACAACAUUUGGAAACGAAUGCUAAUACCGCAUAAAAACUUUAAACACAAGUUUUAAGUUUGAAAGAUGCAAUUGCAUCACUCAAAGAUGAUCCCGCGUUGUAUUAGCUAGUUGGUGAGGUAAAGGCUCACCAAGGCGAUGAUACAUAGCCGACCUGAGAGGGUGAUCGGCGGACAAGACGAGAGCCCCCA
RNAcentral lists this ribosomal RNA (319 nucleotides) under Lactococcus lactis subsp. lactis. RNAcentral describes it as "bacterial SSU rRNA". It matches the Rfam family "Bacterial small subunit ribosomal RNA", at positions 20 to 341 of the family's 1533-position model. The record is from RNAcentral. Lineage: Bacteria; Bacillati; Bacillota; Bacilli; Lactobacillales; Streptococcaceae.